Ceratobasidium sp. 423 is the source of this 86-nucleotide non-coding RNA. The record is from the annotation of a GenBank genome assembly. NCBI's taxonomy places the organism in Eukaryota, Fungi, Basidiomycota, Agaricomycetes, Cantharellales, Ceratobasidiaceae.
GCCCUUAUAGCUCAGUGGUAGAGCGCAUCACUAGUAUGUGUGAUUUGCACAUGAUGAGGUCCUCUGUUCGAUCCAGGGUGAGGGCA